AUGGUAAAUAAGGCAAUCGCUUGGCCUCGCCAAGAGGAAAGUCCGGACUCAUAACGAAGGAGAUACCAUACGAGAUGAAUCAAGUAUGGGGAAUGUAAGUUCACGGAAAGUGCCACAGAAAAUAACCGCCUUAUAAAAUUUUGUAAGGCAAGGGUGAAAAUGUGCGGUAAGAGCGCACGGAUAAUGUCAGCGAUGAUAUUAUGGGGUAAACCCUAUCUCGAGCAAGGCAAAAUAGGUGCAAACGAUUCUUCGUUUCGGUUUAAUGCACGGGUAUGCCGCAAAGAUAUAUGAUUGCCGUUUUAUAUGAAUAUAUAAAAAACAGAAUCCGGCUUAUUGUUUGCCAUUAUU
Molecule: RNase P RNA, 348 nt
Filed under: Candidatus Babelota bacterium
Lineage: Bacteria
Description: RNase P RNA component class A
Rfam family: Bacterial RNase P class A
About the family: Ribonuclease P (RNase P) is a ubiquitous endoribonuclease, found in archaea, bacteria and eukarya as well as chloroplasts and mitochondria. Its best characterised activity is the generation of mature 5'-ends of tRNAs by cleaving the 5'-leader elements of precursor-tRNAs.
Source: RNAcentral